Non-coding RNA from Monodelphis domestica (gray short-tailed opossum), 3604 nucleotides. NCBI's taxonomy places the organism in Eukaryota, Metazoa, Chordata, Mammalia, Didelphimorphia, Didelphidae. The record is from RefSeq and is a predicted model, not a curated record.
UGUUGACACUUGUUUGAAUGCACAAGUCAACUGGCACAUAAUCCAUUUGUAGGCUCAUCCCCAAACACAAGGACCUAACUGGGAGUUAAAGUGAUAAAAGGAUAACAGCAAUCUAUCAAGAAGCAUUUUCUCUGGGUCAGGCACUGUACUAAAUGUUAUGGAUGAAAAAGCAAAAAGAGUUUCUACCUUCAAGGAGUUUGCUUACAGUCUAAUGCAAAGACACCAAGAAUCAAAAGGAAAUGGGACAGCUAGGACCAUACAAAAGUCUUGGAAUUGGAAGCAGAAGAGCUAAAUUCAAAGAUAAGUCCUUCUACAAUCUAAAUACUAUAAUUUUUUGAAGAAUAUAAUAAAAAAGUCUUGGAAUCAUAAAGUACAAGAGUCAUAGAAUAGAUCUUUCUCAUAUAAGUACACUUUAAAUGUCAGAGAAUUACAAAAUCACUAGUUCACACUAAUCCCUGGGUUAUUUAAGAAAUCCCAUGUUAUUUGGAAGGACAAAGGCAGCUUCAGGUCUCUACUAAGUCACUGACCUUAAGGACUCAGCAAAGAGCUCUACACAACUUGGUCAAACUUGAUCAAGGCUCCAAAGGAUGGAGAAAAGAAAUUCCAUCCAACCAACAAUUGAUCCCUGAACCUCUCUUAUUACCUUUUUUUGGGGGGGUAAGAUUUUAGUUUAAUUUCGAAAAUUUUAUUUAAUUAAUUUAGAAUAUGUUUCUAUGGUUACAAGAUUCAUGUUCUUUCUCUCCCCUCCCAUCCCCUCCUAUAGCUGAUGUGCAAUUCCACUGGGUUUUACAUGUGUCAUUGAUCAAGACCUAUUUACAUAUUAUUGAUAUUUGCACUAGGGUGAUCACUUAGGGUCUAAAUCCCUGAUCAUAUCUCCAUCAAACCAUGUGAUCAAGCCAUUGUUUUUCUUCUGUGUUUAUAUUCCCACAGUUCUUUCUGUGAAAGUGGAUAGUGUUCUUUCUCAAAAGUCCCUCCUGUCUUAUUACCUCUUAAAGCAUGAAUUCAUUUUCCUUUUGAUGAUAGAUACUUUUGAGGAAUUGUAUUCCAGACUUUUUGGCAGGAUAUUUUUGUACCAACUAGCCUUACUAUAGCAAACUAAAAAAUGUCCCUUUCUAAAAUUUACCUAUAUUUAAGUCUGCCUAUCUGGUAAUUGGACAGUUAGUUGGCUCAGUGGCUAGACUGUCUGGCCUGAAGUCAGGAAAACACAUCUUCCUGAGUUCAAAUUUGGCCUCAGACACUAACUGUGUGACCAUGAGCAAGAUACUUGACCCUGUUUGUCUCCAUUUCUCAUCUGUUAAAUGAAUUAGAGAAAGAGAUAGCAAACCACUCCAGUAUUUCUGCCAAAAGAACCCCAAAGGGUGCCCUAAGGAGUCAGAACAACAAUAGCUGGUAAUUAUAGGGGAAUAUACCAAAUAAGAACUCAUAAUCAACAGUAUUAUACACCUCCCCAUAUCUCAGAAUCUUGAAAUAGGAACCAGCCACUGUUCUCUGGGGACCCCACCUUUUCGGUGCUAAUGGGAGUUAGAGAAGAAGUCUGGAGGGAUGUUACAAUGGGAGUGAAGAUAGAGAUCUCAGAGGCCACCCAGUCUAAUCUCCUCUUUGUAACAGAUGGGGAAAAAAAUAGAUGAGGCCCACAGUGGUUAAAGUCACUUGCUUGGUUUUGUUGGAAAAUAAAGUAUACAAAGAAGAGAAAUGUGAAACAAAUCUGACAAUUCCCAUAACCCAAUGCAUGUUCCAUAGGCAUAGUCUUUGAUGAACUGGGACCACUGUUUUGCAAUCAAUAGACCUGAAAAAACUAAUGAGAUUUUGCAACCCAAGCCACCUCAGUCAUUUUUAGUCAUAUUUGGUGUUGCUGUGGCAGCUAAGUGGCUUAAUGGAUGGAAUACCAGACCUUGAUCCAAGUACAACACGGUUCAAAUCAAACUCCAGAAAUGUAUUAGCUGGGUGACAAUGGGGACUCUGGUCUGCUGGUUGUUCCAAGAACAAGACACUGCAUCUCAGCUCUGGAUAUUUUCUCUGGCUUUUCCCUAUGCCCAAAACACUCUCAAUUUCAUCUUUGUACAACAUUGUGUAUUUUAAUUUAAAAUCUAAGAAUUUUUAUUUUUUUGAGAUUGUAUUUUUAUAAAAAUCCAGAAAUUUUGAUUUUUGUUUGAGAAAAGAUCUUCAAGGAUAAAGCUUGUUAACUCCUGAAUCCAAAGAAUGAACUGUUGCAGAAAGAUGCUGGGAAACCCACACUAUAUCAAGAAGAUCAAAAGUGAACUUUGGAUAUGGUUGAACUGAAGUUUGAUUGAAUGUUUAUUGUAAAUGUACACAUUUAUGCCAAAAGGGACUGCCCCUAAUUUGGCUUUCUGUCAAUGCACCUAGCAAAACAUUGGUUUUGCUUACUUUCUUUUCUAUUCCUCCCUCACUACUCUAAUUUCCUCUUAGAAAAUUGAAUAUUGUAUAUAUCUACAGUUAGAAGUGCAUUUAGGACUACAAGAUGAUUAUGUUAAAUGAUCAAUGAGGAGACUAGUCUCCCAAUGAUCAUCAGGGGGGAUUGUGAAUCUUAAAAAUUCCCAGACCCUACUUCAUAAGAUUUGGUUAAGACCAUUCCCCAUUUUAAACAAUGAAGGAACUUAGAUCAGGAAUGUGAGACCUCUACUUAGAACAGGAAUGUGAGACCUCUACUUAGAUCAGAAAUGUGAGGUCUCUACUCCACCCCUACUUAAGCCUGCUUUAGGGAAAGAAACUCCUUACUGAACAAUGAAAAAUAAUUAAACCCAUACUUAUAGUAAGGCAAAAGUUCUUAAGCUGUGCCUAUUUUUAGAUCUAAUAAAAAAGGGUGCUAAGUAUUUAUAAAGGUCAGGAAACUUGUGAAUUUACAAGGAGCAAAGAGGUGAGAACUUACUCACAGAUUUUUUCAGGUGUGAAUUUAAUCAAAAGUUCAAGCCUUCUUAGGUGUGAAUUAAGAAUGGUCUGUCCUUUGGAAAACGUCUACUGUGAUUGGUAGAUGUGAGAACUUAGGGGAGGCCACAUAGGAGAAAAUUCCCUUUAAAAGGAGAGGAAAAACUGAGAGCAAAAGGGCUCUCUCGCUGGAGCUCCCUCUUAGGAGACCCUGUCCCUCUGGAGUCGCUCUCUCUCUCUCUCUCUCUCUCUCUCUCUCUCGGGAACUAUCUCAGAGAUCUUGUGGUGAGUUGAUUAAAGACUGACUGAUCCAUCUCUUAGGGUUUUCAGCUUAGGCUGGCUCAUGCUGGCCUAGGCUGGUAUAGCUCUUUUCUCAUUAUUUCCUUUUUUUUUCUCUCUCUCCCUUUCUUUAAUUCCUCAUUUGUAUGAAUUAAAAUCUCUAUAAAACCCAGCUGACUUGGGUAUAUUUAAUAAUUGGGAAUUUUUCCAUGGAGACCACCUUAUAUUUGAUUUAAAAAUAAGACAAUGUCUUGAAACCAUAUUUUCUGCGGUCACAAAUUUACUCAUCCACUCUUUUAUCUGCCACAGUUUAUGUCUUCCACUAUUUUAAUUAUUACACUUGGAUGGCUUUUUUUUAAACCCUUACCUUCCAUCUUGGAGUCAAUACUAUGUAUUGGCUCCAAGGCAGAAGAGUGGUAAGGGCUAGGCAAUGGGGGUCAAG